AUGGAAUCCGGCAUUGGCAAAGCAUCUUCCACUCCUCCCUUCGAUAAGCUUCCUUUUUUGGGCACUGGACCUAGUUACCGCUCCAUGGGAACAUCUAUAGAUUCCGCUAUCGGGAAAGUAAGGCAUGGAAUCACGCUAAGCUUGGGACUUAGCUUGGCACCAGGGCGGCUUGCUCAUCGUGCUUAUGGCUUGGCCAAUUGA
This 201-nucleotide long non-coding RNA is filed under the name Vicia faba (fava bean). The record is from RNAcentral. Lineage: Eukaryota; Viridiplantae; Streptophyta; Magnoliopsida; Fabales; Fabaceae.